UACGUAGGGUGAAAGCGUUAAUCGGAAUUACUGGGCGUAAAGCGUGCGCAGGCGGCUUUGCAAGACAGAUGUGAAAUCCCCGGGCUUAACCUGGGAACUGCAUUUGUGACUGCAUGGCUGGAGUGCGGCAGAGGGGGAUGGAAUUCCGCGUGUAGCAGUGAAAUGCGUAGAUAUGCGGAGGAACACCGAUGGAGAAGGCAAUCCCCUGGGCCUGCACUGACGCUCAUGCCCGAAAGCGUGGGGAGCAAACAGG
This 253-nucleotide ribosomal RNA is filed under the name uncultured bacterium. RNAcentral's name for it is "partial 16S ribosomal RNA". It matches the Rfam family "Bacterial small subunit ribosomal RNA", at positions 524 to 776 of the family's 1533-position model. The record is from RNAcentral.